UGGCGCACGGGUGCGUAACGCGUAUGCAACCUACCUUAAACUGGGGGAUAGCCUUCCGAAAGGAAGAUUAAUACCGCAUAAGAUCACACGAGGGCAUCUGAGAGUGAUUAAAGAUUUAUUGGUUUAAGAUGGGCAUGCGUGCCAUUAGCUAGUUGGUAGGGUAACGGCCUACCAAGGCUACGAUGGCUAGGGGUUCUGAGAGGAUGAUCCCCCACACUGGUACUGAGAUACGGACCAGACUCCUACGGGAGGCAGCAGUAGGGAAUAUUGGGCAAUGGGCGAAAGCCUGACCCAGCCAUGCCGCGUGCAGGAAGAAGGCCUUCUGGGUUGUAAACUGCUUUUAUAUAGGAAGAAAAAACUCUUGCGAGAGGAACUGACGGUACUAUAGGAAUAAGCACCGGCUAACUCCGUGCCAGCAGCCGCGGUAAUACGGAGGGUGCAAGCGUUGUCCGGAUUUAUUGGGUUUAAAGGGUGCGUAGGCGGCCCGGUAAGUCAGUGGUGAAAGCCUCCAGCUCAACUGGAGAACUGCCAUUGAUACUGCCGGGCUUGAGUACAGACGAGGUUGGCGGAAUUGAUGGUGUAGCGGUGAAAUGCAUAGAUACCAUCAAGAACUCCGAUUGCGUAGGCAGCUAACUAGGCUGUAACUGACGCUGAGGCACGAAAGCGUGGGGAGCGAACAGGAUUAGAUACCCUGGUAGUCCACGCUGUAAACGAUGAUGACUCGAUGUUGGCGAUAAACUGUCAGCGUCUUAGCGAAAGCGUUAAGUCAUCCACCUGGGGAGUACGCCC
RNAcentral lists this ribosomal RNA (789 nucleotides) under uncultured soil bacterium. RNAcentral's name for it is "bacterial SSU rRNA". It matches the Rfam family "Bacterial small subunit ribosomal RNA", at positions 96 to 887 of the family's 1533-position model. The record is from RNAcentral.